UCCGAGAACUUUUUAGGAGUUCAUGAAGGCACUUGGCGUGGGUAUGAUGCUCCGCAAGCUGGGCUCCAGCUCCAAGCCCACGGUCGAACUCAGCGAAGAAAACGGGUGUGGACAAUGAAAACGAGCACCACCAUGAAGCGACGGAGAUCAAGUUCAAAAUCGGGGAGGAGGUUUCGGAGACAACUUUCGACGGCAGGGAGUGCAAGCUCUCCGAGUGCGAUGGCGUCGUGUCCAAGAGGAUCUACAAGCGCCAGUGAGUCUGCU
This is a long non-coding RNA of Penaeus monodon (black tiger shrimp), 264 nucleotides long. RefSeq lists it as uncharacterized. NCBI's taxonomy places the organism in Eukaryota, Metazoa, Arthropoda, Malacostraca, Decapoda, Penaeidae. The transcript has 3 exons. The record is from RefSeq and is a predicted model, not a curated record.